GUUUAAUAUAUCCCUGCUCGACUGUCUUUUGAGUGUGUCUGUGUGUUCUUGUGUGUUAAGUCACUGAUUGACAGAUGAAUUCCACACAAGCUCAGUGCCAAAGGAAUCUCCAGACAGAAAGCGUCAUGGCAACUUGCAAUCGCUUGUGGCAACAUGUCUUUAGAUGGUCUGCGAAGGAGAGAGUGUGGAAAAGGACUGGGGAAGGGAGGAGAAGGAGAUGAAAGGGGAAGAACAGCGAAAUAAUUGAGGGAAAUAAACAGAAGGAUGGAAGAAAAGAGGCGCAAAACCCAUUGUUUUUCCACACACAAAGCAGAUGAAGUCCAGCAUCCUUCAGAGCGAGUCACAUACACACGUGCGCAUUAAUCUCAAAGGUCACAGCCAAUAAAUUAAUAUUUCUUGUGUCACUUGAGCUAUUAUCACUGUAUCACCCCCCCCCUUUUUUUACUCAUCCAGUAUCUUCAUGCAUCCUGUCCUCAUAUUUUCUUUCUUUUCUCUUUCUUCUCUGCUUGAUCUGGAUGUGGUAAGGACUCAUCUCAUUGAGGCAGGACUCUCACGCAUCAGAAACUAAGCAGCUUCCCUGUGAAGGAUGACCGCAAACAGAUUAAAUCAUUUAAACAAAGCUGGAGCACCAAACACUAAUGAGAGGACAGGAGAAACCACACAGUAUAGCCAAUCAUUUCUUUAGAGACCUGAGCAGAGAUUUUCAUGGUCAGUGAAACAGGCACUUAACCUCCAGAAUGAUCAUGGUCAACCUCACAAGAUUCAACUAAAUAUUAUAAGAGUUUUCUGCCUCGCAAGCACUGGUACAUUAUUUCCUUCAAAUGUGGCUGUUAAUAUAGUUAUGAAUUUGUCACAGCUGAUGGAUAACAUGCUCAAACAUUGUGAAAGAAAAAUAUUUUCUCUCUCUAAGCACCCAAGUCUUUCUGUUAAGAAUUAUUUGUUUAAAAUUAAUCCUAAUUUGUUUUGUGGUUCUUCAAAGCUCAUAAAUUCUAGUAUUUUCGUGAAGUGAAGUGAAGAAGACGUAAUUAUUGUCAUUUUACUACAGUAUAAAGUAAAAUUGUUCUCAUUAUGAAAUAUUUAAUGUAUAUUUCUGUCUUAAGAGAAAUUAUCAUUAUUAUGAUAAUGCUUCACAAUAAAUGUACAUUUGUUAAUAG
This is a long non-coding RNA of Cyprinus carpio carpio, 1154 nucleotides long. NCBI's taxonomy places the organism in Eukaryota, Metazoa, Chordata, Actinopteri, Cypriniformes, Cyprinidae. The record is from Ensembl.